AGCCAUGCCGCGUGUGUGAAGAAGGCCUUCGGGUUGUAAAGCACUUUCAGUCGUGAGGAAGNUNGUGUAGUUAAUAGCUGCAUUAUUUGACGUUAGCGACAGAAGAAGCACCGGCUAACUCCGUGCCAGCAGCCGCGGUAAUACGGAGGGUGCGAGCGUUAAUCGGAAUUACUGGGCGUAAAGCGCAUGCAGGUGGUUUGUUAAGUCAGAUGUGAAAGCCCGGGGCUCAACCUCGGAAUUGCAUUUGAAACUGGCAGACUAGAGUACUGUAGAGGGGGGURGAAUUUCAGGUGUAGCGGUGAAAUGCGUAGAGAUCUGAAGGAAUACCGGUGGCGAAGGCGGCCCCCUGGACAGAUACUGACACUCAGAUGCGAAAGCGUGGGGAGCAAACAGGAUUAGAUACCCUGGUAGUCCACGCCGUAAACGAUGUCUACUUGGAGGUUGUGGCCUUGAGCCGUGGCUUUCGGAGCUAACGCGUUAAGUAGACCGCCUGGGGAGUACGGUCGCAAGAUUAAAA
This 517-nucleotide ribosomal RNA is filed under the name uncultured bacterium. Its description in RNAcentral is "bacterial SSU rRNA". It matches the Rfam family "Bacterial small subunit ribosomal RNA", at positions 390 to 899 of the family's 1533-position model. The record is from RNAcentral.